CCGGUUGUGACGCCAGUCGCAUUGCCGGGUAGCUACGUUCGGACGGGAUAAGCGCUGAAAGCAUCUAAGCGCGAAGCCUCUUCCAAGAUUAAUUCUCACUGAUUCUUUAAGAAUCCUGAAGGGCCCUUGAAGACUACAAGGUUGAUAGGCACGGUGUGGAAGCGCAGUAAUGUGUGAAGCUAACGUGUACUAAUUGCCCGUGAGGCUUGACCAUAUAACACCCAAAAGGGUU
This 232-nucleotide ribosomal RNA is filed under the name Methylococcaceae bacterium. RNAcentral describes it as "partial 23S ribosomal RNA". It matches the Rfam family "Bacterial large subunit ribosomal RNA", at positions 2717 to 2925 of the family's 2925-position model. Lineage: Bacteria; Pseudomonadati; Pseudomonadota; Gammaproteobacteria; Methylococcales; Methylococcaceae. The record is from RNAcentral.